AAUAAAAUGAUGCCAGCGACUAGUAUUUUGCGAAGAUUAUAUAAAAUAAGGUUAAAAAGAGGUUUUUAAAGUUUAAUUACGUACACAAAAAAAUAAGAAAAAAUGGCUGAAUUCGAAGACAUGGCUUACAGAACUAAAUGUAGUGAAAGAACUCUACAAACCGAGGUUAAAGGAUUUUUUAUGGAUUUUGUGGAAUUAGUCAAAGAUCGGGCCGGUAAAACAUGGAUUCAAAACACCUUUGGCAAGCUUAAAACCGACUCUGAAAGAAUAAGGAGUAUAUAUACUUCUGAUGAGACUAAAGAUGCAGUUGUUAGUAUAUUAUCUAAUGUUCAAGAAAUCUAUAGAAAAAAAGAUGCUACAGUUUCUCAAUUGAAACGAUUAGAAGCAGAAAACGUCCUCGAAAAGGGAGAGAUGAGUAAAUCAUUGAUGCUGUACAGUCAAAGUGUUCUUAGAGCUCCUAGAACUGGCCAAUGUAACAGUUUCGACUCAGGUCUAUCCUUAUCUCUUGCCCUAUGGGGAAGAUCUAAAGUAUUAAUGAUAAUGAAAGAAUAUUCAUUAGCUUUAAAUGAUAUUCAGCAAGCUGUAAAGGAACAUCUUCCAAACGUUUUUAAAGCCGAGGCUUACUGGAAGAUGGCUGUGUGUUAUAAAGCAUUAAACGAGGGGCAAAAAGCUAAGGUGGCUUUUGAAUUAGCUGAAAAGUUAAUGGACAGCGAAAAGAAAAAAGAACAGCUGCAACAAGAUAAAGAAACUGAAUUUAGCAGCAGUAAUAAGGGAAGAAAAAAAGAUAAUUCUAGUAAUACUAUAUCUCACUGUGUGUCAAAUAAACUCACCGUUAAAAGCGAUAAGGAAUUAGGACGGUUUGUGGUUGCAAAUAAAGAAAUUCAAACUGGAGAAACUUUAGUUGUUGAAUCUCCCUACGCAGCUUGCUUAUUACCAGGCAUGUUCGGGACCCACUGCCAUCAUUGUUUUAACAGAUUACAAGCUCCAAUCGGUUGUUCAGACUGCUCCAACGUGGCCUUUUGCAAGCCAGCCUGUAGAGAUGCAGCACUUUCUUCCUACCAUUCCUACGAAUGUAAAUAUUUAGACCUUCUGAUUGGUUCAGGUAUGAGUAUUUUGGCACAUACAGCUUUACGAAUGGUAACACAACAAAAGUUGGAAAAGUGCCUGGAAAUUUAUAAGAAUAAAUCAGAGGAGAAAAUUUUCAAUUUAUGUACCAAUAGUGAUAAACGAGAUAGCGAAGAUUUUUUUCAGAGAACUCUUAUGGCUGCGUUUUUACUCAGAUGUCUUCAGAAAUGUGGGUAUUUUGGUGCUCAAAAUGAUAGUGAGUUACCAACAGAAGACGAAUUUAAAAUAGGAGAAUUUUUAUUAUUUAGUUUGCAAAUGUUACAGUUCAAUGCACACGAAAUAUUUGAACAAGUAACUGUACAGGAUUAUAGCAUAAAAGGUUCUAAAUUGUCUUAUAUUGGAAUUGGUAUCUAUCCUACAGUAGCUUUUUUUAACCAUGAUUGUUACCCCGCCGUUACAAGAUAUUUCGUUGGAAAAGAUGUAGUAGUCAAAGCUGUAAGACUUCUCCAAACAAAUGACAUAGUAGCAGAAAACUAUGGACCAAUAUUUCACAGAAAACCAUUAAAAGAUCGUCAAAAAAUUUUAUCUUCACGAUAUUGGUUUAAGUGUAAGUGCGAAGCCUGUAUACAUAAUUGGCCCACUAAAGAUGAAAUGGAAAAUAUACAACAAAGAGUAAGAUGUCCUACAACAAAUUGUCCCAAUGUGUUCACCUUACCUGUUUCAAAUUCAUUAACGAGCUGUACAAAAUGCAAAGAGAAUAUUAAUUUGGAUGAAAAUAUUCGUCUACUAAAUUGGUGUGAAGAAGAAUGUCAAAAAGGUUUGGAAUUUCUAGACAAUAAUAAACCCGAUAAAGUAGUGGAAGUAUUGUGUGGAGCGUUGGAUAUAUUUCAUAGUAAGUUGACAUCAUGUUUAAAGCCUCUUCCAUUGUCAGCUCUAUCUGUGUGAGAGUUUUCCCUUUUACAACGAUACCAAGGUGGACAGCGUUAACAAAUCUAUCGGUUUAGGGAUGCAUUGGCUAGUCGUUGGUGUAUAUGUUAAACAGGGAUGACGCCAGAAUGCUUCAUUUAGGGUGUCGAUCCCACCUCAUAAAUCAACACAGUUGGCACAGGAAAUUUUGCAGCUUUGUAUGGCGUCCUUUGGAAAUGUAUCAAAUACUUUAAAGAAGAAAUAAAUGAUUUAAAACUUU
RNA transcript from Diabrotica virgifera virgifera (western corn rootworm), 2251 nucleotides. It is a transcript of the gene named SET and MYND domain-containing protein DDB_G0284059-like, with no coding region annotated. The transcript has 10 exons. NCBI's taxonomy places the organism in Eukaryota, Metazoa, Arthropoda, Insecta, Coleoptera, Chrysomelidae. The record is from RefSeq and is a predicted model, not a curated record.